CAGUAGCCGCGGUAAUACGAAGGGUGCAAGCGUUAAUCGGAAUUACUGGGCGUAAAGCGUGCGUAGGCGGUGAGUUAAGUCUGCUGUGAAAUCCCCGGGCUCAACCUGGGAAUGGCAGUGGAUACUGGCUCGCUAGAGUGUGUCAGAGGAUGGUGGAAUUCCCGGUGUAGCGGUGAAAUGCGUAGAGAUCGGGAGGAACAUCAGUGGCGAAGGCGACCACCUGGACUGAUACUGACACUGAGGUGCGAAAGCGUGGGGAGCAAACAGGAUUAGAUACCCGUGUAGUCCCUGUCUCUUAUAC
This 301-nucleotide ribosomal RNA is filed under the name uncultured bacterium. Its description in RNAcentral is "partial 16S ribosomal RNA". It matches the Rfam family "Bacterial small subunit ribosomal RNA", at positions 509 to 807 of the family's 1533-position model. The record is from RNAcentral.